RNAcentral lists this ribosomal RNA (83 nucleotides) under Carlito syrichta (Philippine tarsier). The record is from RNAcentral. Lineage: Eukaryota; Metazoa; Chordata; Mammalia; Primates; Tarsiidae.
UUAGGUAUGCAUACCACCUUGAAUGCGCCUGAUCUCAUCUGAUCUCGGCAGCUAAGCAGGGUUGGGCCUGGUUAGUACUUGAA